This 493-nucleotide ribosomal RNA is filed under the name uncultured bacterium. RNAcentral describes it as "bacterial SSU rRNA". It matches the Rfam family "Bacterial small subunit ribosomal RNA", at positions 15 to 507 of the family's 1533-position model. The record is from RNAcentral.
GAUCCUGGCUCAGGAUGAACGCUGGCGGCGUGCUUAACACAUGCAAGUCGAACGAAGCACUUUUACAGAUUUCUUCGGAAUGAAGUUUGGUGACUGAGUGGCGGACGGGUGAGUAACGCGUGGGUAACCUGCCUCACACAGGGGGAUAACAGUUGGAAACGGCUGCUAAUACCGCAUAAGCGCACAGUACCGCAUGGUACGGUGUGAAAAACUCUGGUGGUGUGAGAUGGACCCGCGUCUGAUUAGCUAGUUGGCAGGGUAACGGCCUACCAAGGCGACGAUCAGUAGCCGACCUGAGAGGGUGACCGGCCACAUUGGGACUGAGACACGGCCCAAACUCCUACGGGAGGCAGCAGUGGGGAAUAUUGCACAAUGGGGGAAACCCUGAUGCAGCGACGCCGCGUGAGCGAAGAAGUAUUUCGGUAUGUAAAGCUCUAUCAGCAGGGAAGAAGAAAUGACGGUACCUGACUAAGAAGCACCGGCUAAAUACGUG